Molecule: small nuclear RNA, 107 nt
Organism: Mesocricetus auratus (golden hamster)
Lineage: Eukaryota; Metazoa; Chordata; Mammalia; Rodentia; Cricetidae
Source: Ensembl
GUGCUCACUUCAGCAGCACAUAUACUAAAAUUGCAAAGAUACAGAGAAGAUUAGUAUGACCCCUGCACAAGGAUGACAGGCAAAUUCAUGAAGAGUUCCAUAUUUUU